RNAcentral lists this ribosomal RNA (497 nucleotides) under uncultured bacterium. Its description in RNAcentral is "partial 16S ribosomal RNA". It matches the Rfam family "Bacterial small subunit ribosomal RNA", at positions 29 to 507 of the family's 1533-position model. The record is from RNAcentral.
AAUGAACGCUGGCGGUGUGCCUAACACAUGCAAGUCGAGCGGAAGCACAGUAAGAUUGCUCCUCUGCUGUUGGCGGCGGACGGAUGAGUAACAAAUACAUCGCCUACUACUAUUACUGGGGUGACUACGGGGGGCAAGUUAUACUACUGGCUCAUACUUUGUACGGGUUAGUUCAAGGGUGCAUGACAGUCUUGCUGACUCUAAUAGAUGAUUCCGGGCUGAAUUAGCUAGUUGGUAAGGUAACGGCUCACCAAGGCGACGAUGCAUAGCCGACCUGAGAGGAUGAUCGGCCACACUGGAACUGAGACACGGUCCAGACUCCUACGGGAGGCAGCAGUGGGGAAUAUUGGACAAUGGGCGCAAGCCUGAUCCAGCCAUACCGCGUGGGUGAAGAAGGCCUUCGGGUUGUAAAGCCCUUUUGUUGGGAAAGAACAGAAGCAGGUUAAUACCCCGCUGUUCUGACGGUACCCAAAGAAUAAGCACCGGCUAACUUCGUG